RNAcentral lists this transfer RNA (73 nucleotides) under Ixodes scapularis (black-legged tick). Its description in RNAcentral is "tRNA-Arg for anticodon ACG". It matches the Rfam family "tRNA". Rfam says of the family: Transfer RNA (tRNA) molecules are approximately 80 nucleotides in length. Their secondary structure includes four short double-helical elements and three loops (D, anti-codon, and T loops). Further hydrogen bonds mediate the characteristic L-shaped molecular structure. tRNAs have two regions of fundamental functional importance: the anti-codon, which is responsible for specific mRNA codon recognition, and the 3' end, to which the tRNAs corresponding amino acid is attached (by aminoacyl-tRNA synthetases). tRNAs cope with the degeneracy of the genetic code in two manners: having more than one tRNA (with a specific anti-codon) for a particular amino acid; and 'wobble' base-pairing, i.e. permitting non-standard base-pairing at the 3rd anti-codon position. The record is from RNAcentral. Lineage: Eukaryota; Metazoa; Arthropoda; Arachnida; Ixodida; Ixodidae.
GCCUCGGUGGCUCUGAGGCGAGAGCGCGAGCCUACGGAUCCCCAGGUGGCGGGUUCGAAUCCCGACCGAGGUG